AGUGCAAAGAAGUAUCCAAUCAGUGUAAAGAGCAGUUAAUUCCAGGAGCAAGAAAUGAGACAGAAGUAUGGGAACAAAUCUGCCAAAACUCAGACAUCGCAGAAAAGUUCUGUGACUGCAUUGGAGAUGGCGAAGAGAAGGUAGAGAUGAGCGAAGACGAUAAGGAAAAUAUGAAGGAAUUCAAGAAAUGUGCUAUCAGAUUCUAUGAAGCAUACUGCCCAAAAUAGAUAUGACUCCAAUAUCAUAAAGAAGGCUUUUUAUAUCAAGAUAAAAUUUGCAGUAAUAGAUUAGAUUGCAAUCUAGAAUUUUCCUACUUUUUUAUGCAUAAAUUUGUGAAAUAAAAGCCUUUAAAAAUUG
This is a long non-coding RNA of Stegodyphus dumicola, 357 nucleotides long. NCBI's taxonomy places the organism in Eukaryota, Metazoa, Arthropoda, Arachnida, Araneae, Eresidae. The record is from RefSeq and is a predicted model, not a curated record.